Molecule: ribosomal RNA, 114 nt
Filed under: uncultured bacterium
Lineage: Bacteria
Description: partial 16S ribosomal RNA
Rfam family: Bacterial small subunit ribosomal RNA
Source: RNAcentral
CGGUGAAUACGUUCCCGGACCUUGCACACACCGCCCGUCAAGCCAUGGAAGCUGGGUGUACCUAAAGUCGGUAACCGUAAGGAGCCGCCUAGGGUAAAACUAGUGACUGGGGUG